UACGUAGGGUGCAAGCGUUGUCCGGAAUUAUUGGGCGUAAAGAGCUCGUAGGCGGUUUGUCGCGUCUGCUGUGAAAACUCGGGGCUUAACCCCGGGCCUGCAGUGGGUACGGGCAGACUUGAGUCCGGUAGGGGACCAUGGAAUUCCUGGUGUAGCGGUGAAAUGCGCAGAUAUCAGGAGGAACACCGGUGGCGAAGGCGGUGGUCUGGGCCGGCACUGACGCUGAGGAGCGAAAGCGUGGGGAGCGAACAGG
This 253-nucleotide ribosomal RNA is filed under the name uncultured bacterium. Its description in RNAcentral is "partial 16S ribosomal RNA". It matches the Rfam family "Bacterial small subunit ribosomal RNA", at positions 524 to 776 of the family's 1533-position model. The record is from RNAcentral.